This 75-nucleotide transfer RNA is filed under the name Bacteroides faecichinchillae. RNAcentral's name for it is "tRNA-Arg". It matches the Rfam family "tRNA". Rfam says of the family: Transfer RNA (tRNA) molecules are approximately 80 nucleotides in length. The record is from RNAcentral. Lineage: Bacteria; Pseudomonadati; Bacteroidota; Bacteroidia; Bacteroidales; Bacteroidaceae.
GCACCUGUAGUUCAAUGGAUAGAAUACAAGAUUCCGGUUCUUGAGAUGAGGGUUCGAUUCCCUCCGGGUGUACAA